This 501-nucleotide ribosomal RNA is filed under the name uncultured bacterium. Its description in RNAcentral is "partial 16S ribosomal RNA". It matches the Rfam family "Bacterial small subunit ribosomal RNA", at positions 28 to 523 of the family's 1533-position model. The record is from RNAcentral.
GAUGAACGCUGGCGGUGUGCCUAAUACAUGCAAGUCGAGCGAACCUCUUCGGAGGUUAGCGGCGGACGGGUGAGUAACACGUGGGCAACCUACCUUGUAGAUGGGGAUAUCAUCGAGAAAUCGGUGCUAAUACCGAAUAACACUUUUCUUCACAUGGAGAAAAGUUAAAAGUUGGCUUCUGCUAACACUACAAGAUGGGCCCGCGGCGCAUUAGCUAGUUGGUGAGGUAACGGCUCACCAAGGCGACGAUGCGUAGCCGACCUGAGAGGGUGAUCGGCCACACUGGGACUGAGACACGGCCCAGACUCCUACGGGAGGCAGCAGUAGGGAAUCUUCCGCAAUGGACGAAAGUCUGACGGAGCAACGCCGCGUGAGUGAUGAAGGCCUUCGGGUCGUAAAACUCUGUUGUUAGGGAAGAAUAAGUACCGUUCGAAUAGGGCGGUACCGUGACGGUACCUAACCAGAAAGCCACGGCUAACUACGUGCCAGCCGCCGCCGUAA